RNAcentral lists this ribosomal RNA (239 nucleotides) under uncultured bacterium. RNAcentral's name for it is "partial 16S ribosomal RNA". It matches the Rfam family "Bacterial small subunit ribosomal RNA", at positions 15 to 245 of the family's 1533-position model. The record is from RNAcentral.
GAUCCUGGCUCAGGAUGAACGCUAGCUACAGGCUUAACACAUGCAAGUCGAGGGGCAGCAUGAACUUAGCUUGCUAAGUUUGAUGGCGACCGGCGCACGGGUGAGUAACACGUAUCCAACCUUCCCGUUACUCUGGAAUAGCCUUUCGAAAGAAAGAUUAAUACCGGAUAGUAUCGAGAGAUUGCAUGAUUACCCGAUUAAAGAUUCAUCGGUAACGGAUGGGGAUGCGUUCCAUUAGG